GUUUAUGGCCAUACCACCCUGAAUGCGCCCCAUCUCAUCUGAUCUCAGAAGCUAAGCAAGAUUGGGCCUGGUUAGUACUUGGAUGGGAGAAAAGCCUAGAAGUAUGGGCA
RNAcentral lists this ribosomal RNA (110 nucleotides) under Mustela putorius furo (domestic ferret). The record is from RNAcentral. Lineage: Eukaryota; Metazoa; Chordata; Mammalia; Carnivora; Mustelidae.